UCCUAAUUGAAUCUAUGAAUUUUUAUAACAAUAGUUCACUUUUUAUUUUUAUGCAUAAAUGACAAAAAAACGCACAACAAAUACAACAAUAAAAAAAAGAGCAACAAAAAAUACCUCUAUUUCUCCCACGUUGUUUUAACCAAAAAAAGUCAAAACAAAACUCUCUCCCAUGUUGAUUUUAUUUUUCUAGAAAAAUGCAAACUUCCACUUCUCCAUAAUCACUACUUCUCCUCUAUCAAAACACCACCAUACCAGCAUAAACCAUCAUUCAUCCCUAAUGUUAAAGUUCCAUACAAAAUCAACAUCCCACCAUAACAUCGACACACAUUCGGCUUUUUAUUUUUACACCCUCUUUUAUUCUCAAUUUUAAUUUUUUUUAAUUAAUGGAUUAAUUUUUUAUUAUUGACAUGAAUUUUGAAAAAAUACACUUUCUUUUGAUCAAACAAACUAAUCUUUUUCACAACUAAAUCAGACUUUU
Molecule: long non-coding RNA, 478 nt
Filed under: Lathyrus oleraceus (garden pea)
Lineage: Eukaryota; Viridiplantae; Streptophyta; Magnoliopsida; Fabales; Fabaceae
Description: Pisum sativum (pea) long non-coding RNA (PSAT_LNC040064)
Source: RNAcentral